This 73-nucleotide transfer RNA is filed under the name Ignavibacteriaceae bacterium. Its description in RNAcentral is "tRNA-Arg". It matches the Rfam family "tRNA". Rfam says of the family: Transfer RNA (tRNA) molecules are approximately 80 nucleotides in length. Lineage: Bacteria; Pseudomonadati; Ignavibacteriota; Ignavibacteria; Ignavibacteriales; Ignavibacteriaceae. The record is from RNAcentral.
GCCGUCGUGGUAUAAUGGAUGUGCAACACUCUUCUAAGGUGUCUUAUGCGGGUUCGAAUCCUGCCGACGGUAC